This 497-nucleotide ribosomal RNA is filed under the name uncultured bacterium. RNAcentral's name for it is "partial 16S ribosomal RNA". It matches the Rfam family "Bacterial small subunit ribosomal RNA", at positions 28 to 507 of the family's 1533-position model. The record is from RNAcentral.
GACGAACGCUGGCGGCGUGCCUAAUACAUGCAAGUCGAGCGAACGGACGAGAAGCUUGCUUCUCUGAUGUUAGCGGCGGACGGGUGAGUAACACGUGGAUAACCUACCUAUAAGACUGGGAUGACUUCGGGAAACCGGAGCUAAUACCGGAUAAUAUUUUGAACCGCAGUGUUCAAAAGUGAAAGACGGUCUUGCUGUCACUUAUAGAUGGAUCCGGGCUGCAUUAGCUAGUUGGUAAGGUAACGGCUUACCAAGGCAACUAUGCAUAGCCGACGGGAGAGAGUGAUCGGCCACCCGGGAGCUGAGACGCGGACCUGACUCCUGCGAGAGGCAGCAGAAGGGAAUGUGCCGCAGUGGGCGGGAGCCUGGCGGAGCAACGCCACGUGAGUGAUGAAGGUCUUCGGAGCGUAAAACUCUGUUAUUGGGGAUAAACAGAUGUGUAAGUAACUGUGCACAUCUUGACGGUACCUAGUCAGAAAGCCACGGCUAACUACGUG